GACGAACGCUGGCGGCGUGCCUAAUACAUGCAAGUUGAGCGCUGAAGGUUGGUACUUGUACCGACUGGAUGAGCAGCGAACGGGUGAGUAACGCGUGGGGAAUCUGCCUUUGAGCGGGGGACAACAUUUGGAAACGAAUGCUAAUACCGCAUAAAAACUUUAAACACAAGUUUUAAGUUUGAAAGAUGCAAUUGCAUCACUCAAAGAUGAUUCCGCGUUGUAUUAGCUAGUUGGGGAGGUAAAGGCUCACCAAGGCGAUGAUACAUAGCCUACCUGAGAGGGUGAUCGGCCACAUUGGGACUGAGACACGGCCCAAACUCCUUCGGGAAGCAGCAGUAGGGAAUCUUCGGCAAUGGACGGAAGUCUGACCGAACAACGCCGCGGGAGUGAAGGAGGGUCUCGGAUCGUAAAACUCUGUUGGUAGGGAAGAACGUUGGUGAGAGUGGAAAGCUCAUCAAGUGACGGUAACUACCCAGAAAGGGACGGCUAACUACGUG
Molecule: ribosomal RNA, 497 nt
Filed under: uncultured bacterium
Lineage: Bacteria
Description: partial 16S ribosomal RNA
Rfam family: Bacterial small subunit ribosomal RNA
Source: RNAcentral